AGCUUUGUGCAGUGGUGGUGUCAUAGCCAAUGAGGUUUAUACAAGGAGCAAUUAUUGCUAAUUGAAAACUUUUCCCAAUACCCCACCAUGAUGACUUGCAAUAUAGUAGGCAUUAGCAACUUUUGAUGGUCUCUAUGGAGA
Molecule: small nuclear RNA, 141 nt
Organism: Otolemur garnettii (small-eared galago)
Lineage: Eukaryota; Metazoa; Chordata; Mammalia; Primates; Galagidae
Gene: U4
Rfam family: U4 spliceosomal RNA
About the family: U4 small nuclear RNA (U4 snRNA) is a component of the major U2-dependent spliceosome. The structure of U4 snRNA from yeast and human has been reported.
Source: Ensembl